ACAAGCGGUGGAGCAUGUGGUUAAUUCGACGCAACGCGAAGAACCUUACCAGGGCUUGACAUCCCCUGACCGCGUAUGAAAGUACGUUUUCACCCUCGGGUGACAGGGAGACAGGUGGUGCAUGGUUGUCGUCAGCUCGUGUCGUGAGAUGUUGGGUUAAGUCCCGCAACGAGCGCAACCCCUACGUUUAGUUGCUAACAGGUGAAGCUGAGCACUCUAGACGAACUGCCGUUGACAAAACGGAGGAAGGUGGGGAUGACGUCAAAUCAUCAUGCCCCUUAUGUUCUGGGCUACACACGUGCUACAAUGGCCGGUACAGACGGAGGCGAAGCCGCGAGGCGGAGCAAAUCCGAAAAAGCCGGUCUCAGUUCGGAUUGCAGGCUGCAAUUCGCCUGCAUGAAGUCGGAAUCGCUAGUAAUCGCAGGUCGGCAUACUGCGGUGAAUACGUUCCCGGGCCUU
This 459-nucleotide ribosomal RNA is filed under the name uncultured Pelotomaculum sp. RNAcentral's name for it is "bacterial SSU rRNA". It matches the Rfam family "Bacterial small subunit ribosomal RNA", at positions 925 to 1382 of the family's 1533-position model. Lineage: Bacteria; Bacillati; Bacillota; Clostridia; Eubacteriales; Desulfotomaculaceae. The record is from RNAcentral.